CUUGGGCCAUUAAGGCUGACAGGCUGGACGCAAGUAACGCCUCUGGAAUCGGCGAUAUGGGUAAAAUCAACGAUUGUUGGGAGAAAUCGCCAAGUUGCUUGGACUCUAGUGACCUUCUCCCAGAAUCGACGAGUUUCCAGACCCAAUGGCGAUUUGAGGGGUUGACUUGGGACCUUUGGUUCCGCUUCUGUGAGAGCCUUUCGGGAGUCCGUCAUAAAGUGAACGGAACCCUAGUUUCUAUUGAUGGGAAGGACAUGUGUGCAAUCCUAUAUCAUCAGUAUUCCCCCCCCAAAUAGGAAUCUGUGACAGGGCAUGUACCGUCAGUAUCUCCCUCCCCCGAACGGACCGUGUUACCUGCAAAGAGAAAAUGUUUAUUCCAGCCAUAGCGAUGGAAGGAUCUCUAGCCGUAGCGAUAGAGUUUUUGAUCCGACCGUAGCGAUGGAUUGAUUUCAGACCAUAGCGACAUAAUGUUUUUAGAUCUGUAGCGACGGAUGAUCCAUAGCGAUGGAUUUAUUUCUGGCUGUAACGUCAAAUUUUUUGUUUAAAUCCGUAGCGAUGGAUUGAUUUCUGACCGUAACGAUAAAUUUUUUUAGAUCCGUAGCGAUGGAUUUAUUUCUGAUUAUAGCGACAUAAUUUUUGUUUACAUCCGUUGUGAUGGAUUGAUAUCUGCCGUAGCUACAUAAUUUAUGUUUAGAUCUAUAACGACGGAUGAUCCAUAGCGAUGAAUUGAUUUCGAAAGAAAAAAAAUUAGAUCAAUAGCGACGGAUCCAUUUUAGCUAUAGCAAUAGAAAGAUAUCUGCAAAAAAAGAAAAAAACUGAUAUAUGUAGCAACAGAUUCGUUUUAACCAUAGCGAUAGAACGAUACCCACAGAAAAGAAAAGAAAGACGGAUAUUCGUAGUGACGGAUUCGUUUUACCAAUAGCGAUAAAAUGAUAUACCUACAAAAAAAGAAAAAAAAUUGAUAUCCGUAGCGACGGAUUCAUUUUAGUCAUAGCAAUAGAAUGACACCUACAAAAAAGAAAAAAAUACAAGCAUAAAAAGUAUUGAAAAAAUUUAUUUUACUUACCGUAUGAAUCAUCGUUCGUGCUACUCCUUUCUUUUGCUCGAUAAAUAUUUGGCCGAAGCGACAGAUUCUUUUUGUGAUACUCUCUACUUUUGGGCGAUAAAUAUCCAGCUGAAGCAACAGAUUCUUUUGCAAUACUCCCUCCUUUUGCUCGAUAAAUAUCCGACUAAAGCAACAUAUUUCUUUUGCGAUAUUCCCUCCUUAUGUUCGAUAAACAUCCGACCAAAGCGACGGAAUGUUUCGAGUUGUUUGCGAUAUUCCCCCUAGAAUCGGCAAUUCUGUGUGAAAGUCGUCGAUUUUCCCGUAGGGUGGGGAUGUACUAAGAUUUUGCGAUAUUCCCAUGGAAUCGACGACUUUGUGCAGAAAUUGUCGAUUUUCCCGUGGUAUGGGAAUAUCUUUGAAGAUUUAGGGCUAUAUCUGAAAAUAUCUUCUAUUUUGGAAAUAACAUAUUCGAUUUUUCCUUACGAUUUCCACUUAUUUAGAAAAUAAGAUAUUCAUAAAUCUUUUCUUCGUAAUUUUCAGAUUUUGUGGAGGGUUGUAAUUUUUUCAAAGAUUAUAAAUAGUGGUCGGAUUAUUUUAAUCCUCACUUAAUCCACUCACAAAACCAUAGAGCAAUUGUCGAUUUCCAGCACUUUACACCUUCAAAUCGGCGAUAUCAUGGCUUCCUCGUGAAUAAACCCUAGCUCUCCCCCAAGCAGUCGAAAAUCGACGAUUUCGCCUUGGAGCAGAGCCUUUUUGACACAAUCAACCAGGUUGAAUCUUUGAUAUCAUCCUUCGCCGAGGGUUCAACUCAAGAAGGAGAGGAAUCGGCGAAUCUGAAGGUUUGAAUCACCGACGUCCGACCCAGCCGAGGUCGAAUUAAUUCUGAGUGCGGCUAGGCACAUAUGCUAAGUGUUACCUCCUCUGUGCGGUCGAUGAUUUCCCCUGUGAAAUCAAUGAUUCCCGCGAGUGAGGCUACGCCAAUGUCGGCGAUUAAGGCCGCCCGUAGGAGAAAUCACCGCCCUUGGGGAAUCGGUGAUUGUGCCACCUAAAUCGACAAUUGUUUCUCAUCCUGAACCGACACUUCUGCUUAUAGCGCCCCCUCGCCUCCGAAUGUUAUCAUCACAGAGAAGGGGGAAAUCAUAACUGAAGCGAACACUGAGGUUCACAAACGUAAAGCUUCAGGUGUAUGGAGCCACGUACAAUCUACGUAUGCUCUCCACGUAGGAUAGAUAGUUUUUUAUAACAGAAAUGUAACUAAUUACAUAUAUAAAUACAGUUCAAAUGUAAUUACAGAGCAAUACAAUUUGAUUCAGUUAACUACACUUCAUGUCUU
RNAcentral lists this long non-coding RNA (2378 nucleotides) under Zostera marina. Its description in RNAcentral is "long non-coding RNA (ZMAR_LNC002369)". The record is from RNAcentral. Lineage: Eukaryota; Viridiplantae; Streptophyta; Magnoliopsida; Alismatales; Zosteraceae.